GACGAACGCUGGCGGCGUGCCUAAUACAUGCAAGUUGAGCGCUGAAGGUUGGUACUUGUACCAACUGGAUGAGCAGCGAACGGGUGAGCAACGCGUGGGGAAUCUGCCUUUGAGCGGGGGACAACAUUUGGAAACGAAUGCUAAUACCGCAUAAAAACUUUAAACACAAGUUUUAAGUUUGAAAGAUGCAAUUGCAUCACUCAAAGAUGAUCCCGCGUUGUAUUAGCUAGUUGGUGAGGUAAAGGCUCACCAAGGCGAUGAUACAUAGCCGACCUGAGAGGGUGAUCGGCCACAUUGGGACUGAGACACGGCCCAAACUCCUACGGGAGGCAGCAGUAGGGAAUCUUCGGUAAUGGACGAAAGUCUGACCGAGCAACGCCGCGUGAGUGAAGAAGGUUUUCGGAUCGUAAAACUCUGUUGGUAGAGAAGAACGUUGGUGAGAGUGGAAAGCUCAUCAAGUGACGGUAACUACCCAGAAAGGGACGGCUAGCUACGUG
RNAcentral lists this ribosomal RNA (497 nucleotides) under uncultured bacterium. Its description in RNAcentral is "partial 16S ribosomal RNA". It matches the Rfam family "Bacterial small subunit ribosomal RNA", at positions 28 to 507 of the family's 1533-position model. The record is from RNAcentral.